This 121-nucleotide ribosomal RNA is filed under the name Pteropus vampyrus (large flying fox). The record is from RNAcentral. Lineage: Eukaryota; Metazoa; Chordata; Mammalia; Chiroptera; Pteropodidae.
GUCUAUGGCCAUGCCACCCCUGAACAAGCCCGAUCCCGUCUGAUCUUGGAAGUUGAGCAAUGUCGGGCCUCGUUAGUACUUGGAUGGGAGACAACCUAGGAAGACCUAGGUUCUGUAGGUG